CCCCUAGAUGUUCUGGGCCGCACGCGCGCUACACUGAACAGUUCAACAAGUCUUAACCUUGGCCGAUAGGUCUGGGUAAUCUUUGAACGCUGUUCGUGAUUGGGAUAGACCUUUGCAAUUAUGGGACUUCAACGAGGAAUUCCUAGUAAACGCAAGUCAUCAGCUUGCAUUGAUUACGUCCCUGCCCUUUGUACACACCGCCCGUCGCACCUACCGAUUGAAUGGUCCGGUGAAAUCUCGGGACGGCGGCUUGGUCGCUUGCGUCCGACUGCUGAAACUUGAUUAAACCAUAUCAUUUAGAGGAAGGUGAAGUUGUAACA
Molecule: ribosomal RNA, 320 nt
Filed under: uncultured eukaryote
Lineage: Eukaryota
Description: partial 18S ribosomal RNA
Rfam family: Eukaryotic small subunit ribosomal RNA
Source: RNAcentral